GUACCAUAACCGACACAGGUGGGUAGGUAGAGUAUACUAAGGGGCGCGAGAUAACUCUCUCUAAGGAACUCGGCAAAAUGACUCCGUAACUUCGGGAGAAGGAGUGCCUUAUUUAUAAGGUUGCAAUAACAAGAUCCAAGCAACUGUUUAUCAAAAACACAGGUCUCCGCUAAGUCGUAAGACGAUGUAUGGGGGCUGACGCCUGCCCAGUGCCAGAAGGUUAAAGAAGUUGGUUAGUGUAUGCGAAGCUGAUGACUGAAGCCCUGGUGAACGGCGGCCGUAACUAUAACGGUCCUAAGGUAGCGAAAUUCCUUGUCGGGUAAGUUCCGACCCGCACGAAAGGCGUAAUGAUUUGGAUACUGUCUCGGAGAGAGGCUCGGUGAAAUAGACUUGUCUGUGAAGAUGCGGACUACCUGCACCAGGACAGAAAGACCCUAUGAAGCUUUACUGUAACUUGAAAUUGGAAUUGGACUUUGCUUGCGCAGUAUAGGUGGGAAGCGUUGAAGAUAUUCUUGCGGGAGUAUUGGAGCUAUCAGUGAGAUACCACUCUUGUAAUGUUAGACUUCUAACUUUGAACCAUAAUCUGGUCAAAGAACAGUUUCAGGUGGGCAGUUUGACUGGGGCGGUCGCCUCCCAAAUGGUAACGGAGGCGUACAAAGGUUUCCUCUGAACGGAUAGAAAUCGUAUCUAGAGUGUAAAGGCAUAAGGAAGCUUGACUGUGAGACCUACAAGUCGAGCAGGGACGAAAGUCGGUCUUAGUGAUCUGACGGUACUGAGUGGAAGGGCCGUCACUCAACGGAUAAAAGUUACUCUAAGGAUAACAGGCUGAUCUCCCCCAAGAGUUCACAUCGACGGGGAGGUUUGGCACCUCGAUGUCGGCUCAUCGCACCCUGGGGCGGUAGUACGUCCCAAGGGUUGGGCUGUUCGCCCAUGAAAGCGGUACGCGAGCUGGGUUCAGAGCGUCGUGAGACAGCUCGGUUCAUAUCCGGUGUAGGCGUUAGAAUAUUGAGAGGAGCCUUCUUUAGUACGAGAGGACCGAGAAGGACACACCGCUGGUGUACCAGUUAUCGUGCCAACGGUAAACGCUGGGUAGCUAUGUGUGGAGUGGAUAACCGCUGAAAGCAUCUAAGUGGGAAGCCCACCUCAAGAUGAGUAUUCUCAUCACUAUAAGUGAGUAAGGUCACGGUAAGACUAACCGUUUGAUAGGCAUUAAGUGUAAAUGUAGUAAUGCAUGUGCUGAGAUGUCCUAACAGACCGAGGACUUGAAU
RNAcentral lists this ribosomal RNA (1268 nucleotides) under metagenome. RNAcentral's name for it is "bacterial LSU rRNA". It matches the Rfam family "Bacterial large subunit ribosomal RNA", at positions 1644 to 2925 of the family's 2925-position model. The record is from RNAcentral.